Molecule: transfer RNA, 84 nt
Filed under: bacterium
Lineage: Bacteria
Description: tRNA-Leu
Rfam family: tRNA
About the family: Transfer RNA (tRNA) molecules are approximately 80 nucleotides in length. Their secondary structure includes four short double-helical elements and three loops (D, anti-codon, and T loops). Further hydrogen bonds mediate the characteristic L-shaped molecular structure. tRNAs have two regions of fundamental functional importance: the anti-codon, which is responsible for specific mRNA codon recognition, and the 3' end, to which the tRNAs corresponding amino acid is attached (by aminoacyl-tRNA synthetases). tRNAs cope with the degeneracy of the genetic code in two manners: having more than one tRNA (with a specific anti-codon) for a particular amino acid; and 'wobble' base-pairing, i.e. permitting non-standard base-pairing at the 3rd anti-codon position.
Source: RNAcentral
GCCCGGGUGGCGAAACUGGCAGACGCACUAGCUUCAGGAGCUAGCGCCCGCAAGGGCAUGGGAGUUCAAAUCUCCCCCCGGGCA